GAAGCAGGUCACUUGAGACACUUGAGUUUUUUUUUUUUUUUUUUUUUUUUUUUU
This 54-nucleotide non-coding RNA is filed under the name Chloropicon mariensis. The record is from RNAcentral. Lineage: Eukaryota; Viridiplantae; Chlorophyta; Chloropicophyceae; Chloropicales; Chloropicaceae.